Molecule: unclassified non-coding RNA, 349 nt
Filed under: soil metagenome
Description: partial contains 5.8S ribosomal RNA, internal transcribed spacer 2, and large subunit ribosomal RNA
Rfam family: 5.8S ribosomal RNA (bases 1-120)
Source: RNAcentral
GAUGAAGAACGUAGCGAAAUGCGAUAAGUAAUGUGAAUUGCAGAAUUCAGUGAAUCAUCGAAUCUUUGAACGCACAUUGCGCCCGCCAGUAUUCUGGCGGGCAUGCCUGUUCGAGCGUCAUUACAACCCUCAGGCCCCCGGGCCUGGCGUUGGGGAUCGGCGGAGCCCCCCGUGGGCACACGCCGUCCCCCAAAUGCAGUGGCGGUCCCGCCGCAGCUUCCAUCGCGUAGUAGCUAACACCUCGCGACUGGAGAGCGGCGCGGCCACGCCGUAAAACACCCAACUCUUCUGAAGUUGACCUCGAAUCAGGUAGGAAUACCCGCUGAACUUAAGCAUAUCAAAAGCGGGA